GAGUUUGAUCCUGGCUCAGGAUUAACGCUAGCGGGAGGCCUAAUACAUGCAAGGCGAGGGCGCAGCAAUGUGACCGCCGUACGGGUGCGUAACGCGUAUGCAACCUACCCAUCACAGGGGGACAGCCCAUGGAAACGUGGAUUAAUACCGCAUAAAGCAGGGGCACUGCCUGGUGAUACUGCUAAAGAUUUAUCGGUGAUGGAUGGGCAUGCGUCUGAUUAGCUGGUUGGUAGGGUAACGGCCUACCAAGGCGAUGAUCAGUAGGGGAGCUGAGAGGUUUUUCCCCCACACGGGCACUGAGACACGGUCCAGACUCCUACGGGAGGCAGCAGUGAGGAAUCUUCCACAAUGGGCGAAAGCCUGAUGGAGCAACGCCGCGUGCAGGAUGAAGGCCUUCGGGUCGUAAACUGCUUUUAUAAGUGAGGAUUAUGACAGUAACUUAUGAAUAAGGAUCGGCUAACUACGUGCCAGCAGCCGCGGUCAUACGUAGGAUCCGAGCGUUAUCCGGAGUGACUGGGCGUAAAGAGUUGCGUAGGUGGGCUAAUAAGCGAAUAGUGAAAUCUGGUGGCUCAACCAUUCAGACUAUUACUCGAACUGUUAGACUCGAGAACAGCAGAGGUAACUGGAAUUUCUAGUGUAGGAGUGAAAUCCGUAGAUAUUAGAAGGAACACCAAUGGCGUAGGCAGGUUACUGGGCUGUUUCUGACACUGAGGCACGAAAGCGUGGGGAGCGAACCGGAUUAGAUACCCGGGUAGUCCACGCCGUAAACGAUGGAUACUAGCUGUUUGGGGUAUCGACCCCCUGAGUAGCGAAGCUAACGCGUUAAGUAUCCCGCCUGUGGAGUACGAUCGCAAGAUUAAAACAUAAAGGAAUUGACGGGGACCCGCACAAGCGGUGGAUCAUGUUCUUUAAUUCGAUGAUAACCGAUAAACCUUACCAGGUCUUGACAUCCUUGGAAUUUUUAGGAAACUAAAGAGUGCUUUAUUGAACCAAGUGACAGGUGAUGCAUGGCCGUCGUCAGCUCGUGUCGUGAGAUGUUUGGUUAAGUCCAUCAACGAGCGCAACCCUUGUCAGUAGUUGUAUUUUUCUACUGAGACUGCCCCAGUAACGGGGAGGAAGGAGGGGAUGACGUCAGGUCAGUAUUUCCCUUACGCCCUGGGCUAGAAACGUGAUACAAUGGCUAGUACAAUGCGCAGCGAAGCCGCGAGGUGAAGCAAAUCGCAUCAAAGCUAGUCCCAGUUCGGAUUGUAGGCUGAAACUCGCCUGCAUGAAGUCGGAAUCGCUAGUAAUCGCGGAUCAGCAUGCCGCGGUGAAUACGUUGCCGGGCCUUGUACACACCGCCCGUCACACCACGGGAGUUGGGAGUACCCGAAGUAGGUUGCCUAACCGCAAGGAGGGCGCUUCCUAAGGUAAGACCGAUGACUGGGGUGAAGUCGUAACAAGGUAACCA
Molecule: ribosomal RNA, 1450 nt
Filed under: uncultured bacterium
Lineage: Bacteria
Description: partial 16S ribosomal RNA
Rfam family: Bacterial small subunit ribosomal RNA
Source: RNAcentral